RNAcentral lists this ribosomal RNA (484 nucleotides) under uncultured bacterium. RNAcentral describes it as "partial 16S ribosomal RNA". It matches the Rfam family "Bacterial small subunit ribosomal RNA", at positions 30 to 507 of the family's 1533-position model. The record is from RNAcentral.
AUUGAACGCUGGCGGCAUGCUUUACACAUGCAAGUCGAACGGUAACAGGGUGCUUGCACCGCUGACGAGUGGCGAACGGGUGAGUAAUGCAUCGGAAUGUACCGUGUAAUGGGGGAUAGCUCGGCGAAAGCCGGAUUAAUACCGCAUACGCCCUGAGGGGGAAAGUGGGGGACCGAAAGGCCUCACGUUAUACGAGCAGCCGAUGUCUGAUUAGCUAGUUGAUGAGGUAAAGGCUCACCAAGGCGUCGAUCAGUAGCGGGUCUGAGAGGAUGAUCCGCCACACUGGGACUGAGACACGGCCCAGACUCCUACGGGAGGCAGCAGUGGGGAAUUUUGGACAAUGGGCGCAAGCCUGAUCCAGCCAUGCCGCGUGUCUGAAGAAGGCCUUCGGGUUGUAAAGGACUUUUGUCCGGGAGCAAAUCCUAGUGGUUAAUAACCGCUGGGUCUGAGAGUACCGGAAGAAUAAGCACCGGCUAACUACGUG